Molecule: ribosomal RNA, 497 nt
Filed under: uncultured bacterium
Lineage: Bacteria
Description: partial 16S ribosomal RNA
Rfam family: Bacterial small subunit ribosomal RNA
Source: RNAcentral
GAUGAACGCUGGCGGCGUGCCUAAUACAUGCAAGUCGAGCGAACAGACGAGGAGCUUGCUCCUCUGACGUUAGCGGCGGACGGGUGAGUAACACGUGGAUAACCUACCUAUAAGACUGGGAUAACUUCGGGAAACCGGAGCUAAUACCGGAUAAUAUAUUGAACCGCAUGGUUCAAUAGUGAAAGACGGUUCUGCUGUCACUUAUAGAUGGAUCCGCGCCGCAUUAGCUAGUUGGUAAGGUAACGGCUUACCAAGGCGACGAUGCGUAGCCGACCUGAGAGGGUGAUCGGCCACACUGGAACUGAGACACGGUCCAGACUCCUACGGGAGGCAGCAGUAGGGAAUCUUCCGCAAAGGGCGAAAGCCUGACGGAGCAACGCCGCGUGAGUGAUGAAGGUCUUCGGAUCGUAAAACUCUGUUAUUAGGGAAGAACAAAUGUGUAAGUAACUAUGCACGUCUUGACGGUACCUAAUCAGAAAGCCACGGCUAACUACGUG